Amphimedon queenslandica is the source of this 223-nucleotide long non-coding RNA. RefSeq lists it as uncharacterized. The transcript has 3 exons. NCBI's taxonomy places the organism in Eukaryota, Metazoa, Porifera, Demospongiae, Haplosclerida, Niphatidae. The record is from RefSeq and is a predicted model, not a curated record.
UACUGAAGCGGUGGUUUAGUGUAGCCUGGGAGUCUCGCUGAUUUUGGACCUUUAUAUCACACUUAAAAUGGCAGCUGUUAGUCCACCACACACUCAAUGGGGACCUGGUACCACAUGUAUAGCUAAAUAUAACUUCCCAGGCUCAGCAUCUCAUGACUUACCACUUAGAAGAGGUGACAAAAUAAUUAUUGUCAAAAAAUCCAAGGCAAGUUUUAAAUAAUUU